CAAGUCCCCAUGGGUCUGCGCAGUGCCCAACUGUGCCCUGGUUUUGGAGGGUUGAGGAAGGAGAUUAUGCCACUGUGAUUACUAUGGUAUGGACGUGUGGGGACCUGGAACCCAGGUCAGCAUCAGCUCAGAGAGCUCGUCCCCUCCAAAUCUCUACCCCCUGGUGUCCUGUGAGAGCCCCCUGUCCGAUGAGAGCCUGGUGGCCAUGGGCUGCCUGGCCCAGGACUUCCUGCCCGGCUCCAUCACCUUCUCCUGGAACUACAAGAACAGCAGUGACGUGAGCACCAGGGACAUCAAGACCUUCCCCUCGGUCCUGCGGGGGGGCAAGUACGUGGCCACCUCCCAGGUGCUCCUGGCCUCCGUGGACGUGCUCCAGGGCUCCGAUGACUUCCUCACGUGCCAAGUUCAGCACGCCAACGGCAACAAGGUCGUGAAAGUGCCCCUGUCAGGUGAGCGCUGCCCCACUGUGGGCUGGGUAAGGAACUGGGCACAGGGUUCAGAGGCCACACCGAGGCCACACGGCCGGCUGCAGCACCUCAGAGAGGCCCAGGCCUACAUGCAGGCCCCUGAGGCUGCCAGGCCCCCCAGCAGCCGCCUGCGGAACCCAGGAGGCCCUCACAGGGGGUUCCACCAGCUCCUUGGCUGUGCUGCCCUGUCACCCUCACUGCCACAGCAGGACUCCGAGGACAAGGUGCUCAGCCUUGGCCACUAUCUGCCCCUGCCCAGCCCCCACUCAUGCCUGGCCUGA
Molecule: non-coding RNA, 748 nt
Organism: Manis javanica (Malayan pangolin)
Lineage: Eukaryota; Metazoa; Chordata; Mammalia; Pholidota; Manidae
Source: the annotation of a RefSeq genome assembly